This is a long non-coding RNA of Zingiber officinale, 415 nucleotides long. RefSeq lists it as uncharacterized. The record is from RefSeq and is a predicted model, not a curated record. The transcript has 3 exons. NCBI's taxonomy places the organism in Eukaryota, Viridiplantae, Streptophyta, Magnoliopsida, Zingiberales, Zingiberaceae.
GAGCAUUAUGAAAGUAUAUCCAGCAUGCCUAGUGUUGAAGGUUUGAGUAUAACUGGAACUCAAUUUCAACCACUUUUGUCAACACAACUAUCUCAGGUUCACUCUGAUAUUGGUUAUUUUCAGACAAAUGAUCGGGAACGAUGUGGGCAACACUCAUAGGAGACUUCAACAAUUGGAACCCCCAUGCGAAUGUCAUGACCAAGGAUGAAUAUGGCGUUUGGGAGGUCUUUGUACCGAAUACUGCAGAUGGCUCUCCGCCUAUUCCACAUGGCUCACGGGUAAAGGAAUGCACGUCAACAAAAAGUGCAUCGCAGGUCGGAGGAGGGUUGCUCUUACGUCAAUUAUGCUUUUGUGGCGUUAUUAUCAGCUAGAAUUUGUAGCCACUUUAAAUGCUACUCGAGGGGGCAUUUCUUUA